RNAcentral lists this unclassified non-coding RNA (271 nucleotides) under Hevea brasiliensis (rubber tree). Lineage: Eukaryota; Viridiplantae; Streptophyta; Magnoliopsida; Malpighiales; Euphorbiaceae. The record is from RNAcentral.
AAAUGUUAGUAAAUUCAGAUAAUGCAACAAUCGAAAUUAAAUUUAAUUCAUUUAUAAUUUUAUGUAUUGGUACUAAGCAAACUUUCAAUAGGAUUCUAAUUCAAUAACAACGUAUGCUUGAGCUUUAAAUUGUUCAAUGAGCAUAUUCGCUCUAGCUGGACCGUUAUAAGCUCAUAUGUAUCUAAUCAUUUACCCUUUGAAUAUUUGAAACUGCUAAAUAAUUAAGAUGUAUUUUCCUUGUGAUCUUCCUUUCACUCCUUUUUACCCAGGU